ACGGGUGAGUAACGCGUGGGAAUCUACCCAUCUCUACGGAAUAACGCAUGGAAACGUGUGCUAAUACCGUAUACGUCCUUCGGGAGAAAGAUUUAUCGGAGAUGGAUGAGCCCGCGUUGGAUUAGCUAGUUGGUGGGGUAAAGGCCUACCAAGGCGACGAUCCAUAGCUGGUCUGAGAGGAUGAUCAGCCACACUGGGACUGAGACACGGCCCAGACUCCUACGGGAGGCAGCAGUGGGGAAUAUUGGACAAUGGGCGCAAGCCUGAUCCAGCCAUGCCGCGUGAGUGAUGAAGGCCCUAGGGUUGUAAAGCUCUUUCACCGGUGAAGAUAAUGACGGUAACCGGAGAAGAAGCCCCGGCUAACUUCGUGCCAGCAGCCGCGGUAAUACGAAGGGGGCUAACGUUGUUCGGAUUUACUGGGCGUAAAGCGCACGUAGGCGGACUAUUAAGUCAGGGGUGAAAUCCCGGGGCUCAACCCCGGAACUGCCUUUGAUACUGGUAGUCUUGAGUUCGAGAGAGGUGAGUGGAAUUCCGAGUGUAGAGGUGAAAUUCGUAGA
Molecule: ribosomal RNA, 557 nt
Filed under: uncultured bacterium
Lineage: Bacteria
Description: bacterial SSU rRNA
Rfam family: Bacterial small subunit ribosomal RNA
Source: RNAcentral